UACGUAGGGUGCGAGCGUUGUCCGGAAUUAUUGGGCGUAAAGAGCUUGUAGGCGGUUUGUCGCGUCUGCUGUGAAAAUCCGGGGCUCAACCCCGGACUUGCAGUGGGUACGGGCAGACUAGAGUGUGGUAGGGGAGACUGGAAUUCCUGGUGUAGCGGUGAAAUGCGCAGAUAUCAGGAGGAACACCGGUGGGCGAAGGCGGGUCUCCUGGGCCGA
RNAcentral lists this ribosomal RNA (216 nucleotides) under uncultured bacterium. RNAcentral describes it as "partial 16S ribosomal RNA". It matches the Rfam family "Bacterial small subunit ribosomal RNA", at positions 524 to 737 of the family's 1533-position model. The record is from RNAcentral.